Non-coding RNA from Pelobates cultripes (western spadefoot toad), 202 nucleotides. Lineage: Eukaryota; Metazoa; Chordata; Amphibia; Anura; Pelobatidae. The record is from the annotation of a GenBank genome assembly.
AUGUAAUGUAGUUGUUCUGGUGUCUACUGCCUGUUCCUGUUGGCAUUUAAAUGUAAACACUGCCUUUUCAGAAAAAAUACUGCCUAGGGAAACCUUCAGUGGCAGUCACUCAGAUGGCCACUUGAGGUGCUUCCUGCAUCAGUGCUGCACAUUUUGCAACACUAACUUUCAGAAUGUUCCUCACAGAGAUGCAUUGUUGAAA